Molecule: long non-coding RNA, 3717 nt
Organism: Columba livia (rock pigeon)
Lineage: Eukaryota; Metazoa; Chordata; Aves; Columbiformes; Columbidae
Exons: 3
Source: RefSeq, a predicted model, not a curated record
CCCUCGGUGCUGGGCUGAGAGCUCCUCCACCAGACGUGGCAUUGCGUCAGCUGGGUCUGACUUAUCUCCAUGACCUCCUGAUGCUCGCUGCUCUCUCUGGAUUUUGGAAAAGCAGAAGCAGAUGCAGAGAUCGGGUUUUGUGAUACUAACACACUUUGAGCUUUUUAACCUCAAGUACUAUUUGUUUUGCUUGGCACUUCCUCCACAACCGACCGCGCCAGGGCUGGUGCUCCGGAGCAGCCCUGCGGUUGGGAGUUCCCACCAGAGACUGGAAGUGACUGCCCGCCUGUCCCCAACCCGCUCCACCACCAGAUCGCCGGCUCCUGUCUGGUGAAGCUCAACAGGGCUCUGACGGCUCUGACUGGCACUCGGGGCUGGUGACUCAGCAGCCGCUGGUGACUCAGCACCCACGGAAAUCGAUGGAAGCGCCUCCAGCAUUUUUUAUAAGAGCUGAAUCAGGCCCUAAUUGCAUUUUAGCCUGCUCUCUUUUCCCCACAUACUGCCCACAGGAACCCCACGAGCAACGGCUCAACGCUGAGUUACCCCGAACCAGUUAUGGUGACCCUGCACCUCCAGGGCAAAGUCCUGCCAGAGUGGUGAUGGGCACCCGAAAGCCACGUGUGACAACUGAAGCCGUCCUGAAGAAACAUCCUCCUGAGUCACUGACCACCUUUGGGUCUGAAUGGAGUUUCUGCACUUCCAGGGAGGGGUGGCAGCAGCUGGAGGUGGGGAUGCCGCCUCUUCUGGCAUCUCAACCAGCCCGAGUGCACCGGGCAGCCCCUGGGGCAGAUGCCAGCCCUGCCACCCCGUGCCAGCACCAGCCACUCGGCAUGCGUGUGGGAAAAACACCGCACACCCACACUCCGAGUGGCAGGCUCCAGCGCCAGCUGAGUCAACUCAGCCCCUCACUUUUGCAGAGAAGAUAUGCAGAAUCUGAUGGGGCUUAUCACGUGGGUAUGGGCAGGGAGCGGCUCCUUGGCUUCAAAGAGCAGAUAAGGCCAUCAAAGUGAUUGUCAUCUUCAAACACUGCCUACUUACUCACUAGACCUAAUCUCCGCGUGAAUUCCAACUCAAAGCCUCUCACUUCAGCAACCAGGUGGAUGUGUUCACUGCUUGCCCCUGCUGUUAGCCCAUGGAGCCAGCACGGCCCUGGGGAGAAGAGAGUCAUUGCCGCUUUCUGCUUAUACACCAGCAACGCCUCUGUUAGAAGCUUUGCCCCAACUGUUUGUUGUACCUACACAAUGCACAACAUCGAGCCUGGGGAGGGCUGCGAGCAGGGGCUGCCUCCCCCUCUGCUGUUCCCUGAGAACAUCACAUAGACAGGCUUGGAAAAUAAGGAGUUGUGUUAGGACACACUGUGGGUCUAAACUGUGAAGAUGGUAAUGGGGGAAGGAGAGGAGUCCUGCUUAAUCCCAGGGGCCCGUUCCAACAGUGCAAGUGGAAAAACGCAGGCAGGCAAGAUGAUCCGUUCCCCACCCUGGUGAGAACAGGAGGCGGAGGCACCACCCUCGGAGGCAGACGGGAUGCCAGAGGGGAGGCAGAAGUUGAUGAAAACAAAGCGAACCUUCUCGGUUGACUCCGGGACAGGAGCAGGGACAAGACAACCUUCUGCCAAGGGCUGCGCUUCACCCAGCACCACCUCGCGAGGACUCAGAUGGAAAGAAUUUCCCUUGCGGGCAGGAGGGCAAGUCAAGAUACAGUAUCUCAGCAGACUACCCCACCCCUCCCUAGGCUUGUCCUGGGUUUUGAUACGCAGUGUGCAAAUCUGGAAUGUAUUCAUAAAUAAAUGUCAAAUUCUCAGAUGCAUUGUCAGCCUUAAAGAAAAUGAGCAGACUUAAUUAAAAAUCCCACUGUUUCUUUGACUCAUGACCUGAGUCACAUCUCCAGCCUUGCUGCUUUUACAUAUUUAACACACACACACAGAAAUACAAUCAAUACUUAUCAACUUCAAGAGCUGGCAAGACGAUACUCCGGUGUUUGAGAAAGUCAUCUGUAAGCUGUGUCAACAAGAGGUUCAAGAUCUCUGAGGAAUCCCUGUGCAAUACGCUUAUGUGAUAAUGAUACACAGAUCGCAAUUCAUUGAAAUCACAAGAUGCCAUGAAUCCUCUCCCAUGCUUCCUAUCCAGUGACUGUGUGUUUUGCUGCAUUUGAAAUAUUUUGCUGCAUCAGGUGACAGAACAGACCCAUUGGGAUCCAGAUGCCUAUUACUAAAAAUAUCCCCAUAGUGGGCUGACACAUUCAGUGUCCAUUUGUUCCAGAUUUGUUCCUCUAUCUCUGACCUGCAGGAGCUCAAGGCUCCCGCCUGGCACUGAGGGUUAGGAGGAAGCCCGUUCUGACCACCUGCACCACAAGCCAUCCCCAGGGUUGGCGAUGUCCUGUCUCUUUUUGGCUUCCAAGGAGGGGCUGAGGGCAAGAUGCGGUUUGGCCGGGCAGGUUGGGCGGCUUUGUCCCCGGCACACAGCUCCUCUGCCUCCAGCAGCACCCCGGUUGUUGGUGCAUCUCCAGCCAGGAUCCCAGCCCUGGCCACAGCUGACGGGAGAUGACAAAACCCACAUAAGGCACCUGGCCCCGCACACUGAGUUAGCCUGUGUUAGCCUGUGAGAAGGCUUCAGCCAAACCACAACAAAGUCCAUGAUUUCCAUGGGCUUUGUCUGAGGUCUGUUUUAAAGCCCUUCCUUUUCCAGGACAGCUUCAUUCCAGACCUUGUUACAAAGCCAGUGGCAAACAUCCAAUGAUUUCAGUAGUAGAUGUGUUUUAGCAAAGCUUAUCGCAAACAGGGUUAACUCCCUGCUAAGGAAGACCACAGACAGCACCUUCCCUUUGAACACACAAAAUAACCUCUGGCUGGUGCAUUCUGCUGAUCGGUCAGCAACAGUCUCCCAGGGGUUCAGCAGCAACGACCCAGGAGGUUGGCCCCAAUCAUCCUCCCGUUCGGCCCCAGCCCCUCCGGCCGGGCCAGCCUGCUGCAGGCAGCACUGUGCCCGCCACAUAGGGCAGACACACAGACAGGGGGACCUGCCAGAAUCUCUUUUAGACACGUUUUUCUGUUAUUAGAGAGCUCCAUCAUUUUACUGUAUCUUAUUUGCUGCUAGCAAGGUUUAUCAUUAAGGCUCGUCACCAGACAAGGGGCACUUACACCUGACAACACAUACAGAGAACGAGGACGACAGGCCAGCGGCUGUGCUGGUGAUACCUGUCGUUUUUCAACAACGGCAGCGGACAGGUAAGAGCAAGCACAAUACACCUUGGCAAUUUUGCAAACCAGGCUGUCUUUGCAACCUACCUGUUGCAAAAUGGAAUCUGAACAUCACAUCACUGUAACAUCUGCACUGCCUACUCAGGACUGUGUUCAAUAAAAAGUCUCCAUCUCCUUUUGCAGUAAAGCAAUGUGCUCUGUAGUUAGGCCUGUGUGAGGAGUUUAGCAUCUCUCCUAAAACACCUUUUUCCAAGAGAUUAGAACUUGGUCAUAAAAAUUUUAUUCUAGAGUAGUAUUUAGCAGAGACACCUUUUGGUAGUAAACCGAAAAGACCUCCAUUCAAGCACUGAAGUGGCCCAACUGUGAUACCAGUGUAACCCUUUUCCCAGAGAGGUUACUUGUCUUCUCAUCUGUUCCACCAGUCUCAGGCCCACGCAAUAACAAUGGCCUCAUUUAAUGCUCACCGAAGGGUGGGGGGAAUCUUCCCAUCAUCUUCCAAGGCCCUAUUAAAACACAACUCA